Long non-coding RNA from Ochotona curzoniae (black-lipped pika), 810 nucleotides. RefSeq lists it as uncharacterized. The transcript is spliced from 2 exons. NCBI's taxonomy places the organism in Eukaryota, Metazoa, Chordata, Mammalia, Lagomorpha, Ochotonidae. The record is from RefSeq and is a predicted model, not a curated record.
UCCAGUAGCUAGAGGAAAUAGACUGGCAGACCAGACUGCAAAAACUGUUGCCACUGAGCCAAUCUCAGCCCUACCCCUGGAAAUAAACUCAAAAAUGGGACCCGAAGAGACCAGGCAAAACACAGAUGACAUAGUCUGCAACUGGGGAGUUCCAUUUAAAUAUACUGAUAAUGACAGAGCUCUCAUUAAAAAACUCGAAGGGGAGUGGGAUGCUAAGUGCAAAGCAUGGAGAAAAAGGAGACAAGGUCAUCCUGCCCUAUCGCAUAGCUACUGAAAUCAUUGAACACCUCCACCGCCUCACUCAUUUGAGCCGGAGAAAAAUGCACGCUCUACUUGCAAAUGAGAAAUGCCCGUUUAUAACUCCUGACCUGCAGUUUCUUACUCAAAUUACAGUGGACCAAUGCAAGCCUUGUGCCCAGGUAAACGCAGGGCGACUAAAACUCCCCCAAGGAGCCCGUGCCCGAGGACACCGACCGGGAAUACAAUGGGAAAUAGACUUUACUGAAGUAAAACCGGGACUGUAUGGUUAUAAAUAUCUCUUAGUUUUUGUAGACACCUUUUCAGGCUGGGUAGAAGCCUACCCCACGAAGAAUGAAACGGCCACGACAGUCGUUAAAAAAACUCCUUGAAGAAAUUUUUCCCCGGUACGGAUUGCCGCAAGUAUUAGGGUCAGAUAACGGUCCCGCUUUCGCCUCCCAGGCGCAUCUCCAGGCUCUCAGAGCAGUGAGAGAGUACAUCUGGAAACCGCUUGCAGAGGCCUACAAGGACAAAGACAUUCCACCGUGCCCUCACCCGUUCAAGGAAGGAGAC